AGUGAACGCUGGCGGUAGGCCUAACACAUGCAAGUCGAACGGCAGCACAGUAAGAGCUUGCUCUUACGGGUGGCGAGUGGCGGACGAGUGAGGAAUACAUCGGAAUCUACUUUUUCGUGGGGGAUAACGUAGGGAAACUUACGCUAAUACCGCAUACGACCUACGGGUGAAAGCAGGGGAUCUUCGGACCUUGCGCGAUUGAAUGAGCCGAUGUCGGAUUAGCUAGUUGGCGGGGUAAAGGCCCACCAAGGCGACGAUCCGUAGCUGGUCUGAGAGGGUGAUCAGACACACUGGAACUGAGACACGGUCCAGACUCCUACGGGAGGCAGCAGUGGGGAAUAUUGGACAAUGGGCGCAAGCCUGAUCCAGCCAUACCGCGUGGGUGAAGAAGGCCUUCGGGUUGUAAAGCCCUUUUGUUGGGAAAGAAAAGCAGCAGGUUAAUACCCCGCUGUUCUGACGGUACCCAAAGAAUAAGCACCGGCUAACUUCGUG
RNAcentral lists this ribosomal RNA (492 nucleotides) under uncultured bacterium. Its description in RNAcentral is "partial 16S ribosomal RNA". It matches the Rfam family "Bacterial small subunit ribosomal RNA", at positions 29 to 507 of the family's 1533-position model. The record is from RNAcentral.